Molecule: ribosomal RNA, 846 nt
Filed under: uncultured bacterium
Lineage: Bacteria
Description: bacterial SSU rRNA
Rfam family: Bacterial small subunit ribosomal RNA
Source: RNAcentral
GGCUCAGGAUGAACGCUGGCGGCGUGCCUAAUACAUGCAAGUCGAACGGAGAAAUUAGCAAUAGUUUCUGAGUGGCGAACGGGUGAGUAACGCGUUGGUGACCUGCCCCGAAGUGUGGGAUAACAGCUCGAAAGGGCUGCUAAUACCGCAUGUGGUCUUGGGAACUAGAGACCCAAGACUAAAGGUGAAAACCGCUUUGGGAGGGGCCUGCGUCCCAUCAGCUAGUUGGUAAGGUAACGGCUUACCAAGGCGACGACGGGUAGGGGGCCUGAGAGGGUGAUCCCCCACAUUGGCACUGAAACACGGGCCAAACACCUACGGGUGGCAGCAGUAGGGAAUCUUGCACAAUGGGCGCAAGCCUGAUGCAGCAACGCCGCGUGCGCGAUGAAGGCCUUCGGGUCGUAAAGCGCUUUUCUGGAGGACGAGGAAGGACGGUACUCCAGGAAUAAGGCUCGGCUAACUACGUGCCAGCAGCCGCGGUAAAACGUAGGAGCCAAGCGUUAUCCGAAUUUACUGGGCGUAAAGCGCGUGCAGGCGGUUGGGUAAGUUGGCUGUGAAAUCUCCCGGCUCAACUGGGAGGGGACGGUCAAGACUGCCCGACUGGAGGCAGGUAGAGGGAGGUGGAAUUCCCGGUGUAGUGGUGAAAUGCGUAGAUAUCGGGAGGAACACCAGUGGCGAAGGCGGCCUCCUGGACCUGACCUGACGCUCAGACGCGAAAGCUAGGGGAGCAGACGGGAUUAGAAACCCCGGUAGUCCUAGCCGUAAACGAUGUGGACUAGGCGGCGGUGGGGUAAAAGCCAUCGGUGCCGCAGCCAACGCGAUAAGUCCACCGCCUGGGGACUACGG